UUGAGGUGAAACAAUCAUUUUAAUCAGACAUUUUUAAUGGUCACAAUGUGGAGGCAAACUAUUUUAUUUUAUACUCCCAGUGCUGCCUGUGCCUGUGCCUUUCUUUUUUUUUUUUUAUUUUGUGUUUGAUUCUUUUAUUAAACCAACUCAUCUGUAACAUUUUUCUUUCUUUUUUUUUUUUUAAACCCAAGCAUCCGAUCACUCCAUGGGGGAGGACUGCUGGAGGGGUCUCAAGAUUCGGCGGACCCAAAAUGAAUGUUGGUGGAGAGAAUGACACGGAGACCACCAAAAACACAGAAACAAAGGAAUCUUGUGUGGGCUGAGGAGAGCACAAAAGCGGUAAAAUGGCGCCCAUCAUCGAUAUCAGACUGCAGUCAUGACAUUUGAGAAGCUUCGGGAGAGGAGCUGCACAAAUCCUCAACUGAAAGACGCAAACCCCAACUCAACAUCACAGACGACUUAAGAAUCGAGAAUGGAGGGCUGACUGAAGCAGCAUAUUGUUGUUACAAGAGAUUAUUGCCACCUCCCCAGAGUACCAACAAGCAACGUGAACAACACAAGACCAGAAUCCCCCGGUUCAUCCAUAAUAGAUCAAGCGAUGUGCUAGCUGCUCGUAACGGAUCACCCUCGGAAAAGGGGCCUUAAACGACUCGCCGCAUCUUGGCGCUCGUUCCAGCGAGAGGAUCGAGGACCCAUAUGACAAGGAUUGGGAAGCCGAGGCAGAACAAAGCUGCUCAAAUAUUGAUCGCUGGUGGAGGUGUGGGGUGUCUUUGAGGUGUUUAGUCUCAGUCAGACAGCCGCCCGUGGGACUUGGUGGCGGGUUUAAAAGGCUAUGCAGCCAAGAGUGUAAGUGCAGGCAGGCUUCGUGUGCUUUAUCCACCUUCCGCUGUUGAUUCAGGCAGAACAGAAGAGCCACAAGUCCUCUGAGGGAAUGGUGCAUCACCAGAACCGUCGCAUUGAUCAGUGAGGAUUGAAUGAGUUGGGUACUGAAAUCAUUGGAGGCCAUCCAACUUACUUCUCCCGAGCCAACUUUUUAUUUCUGCAGGCAUACAAACAAAAUUGUGACAGAAGCAGAGUGACUAUCUAGUUGAUUUAAUCUAAUCAAGCACCCAUUAUAUUAAGUCUAAUGUUACUCUUAACGACCAAUGGCCUUAUUAAAUGUGUAUGACAAAAACCUGCAAACCUUAAAAAAAAAUAACAGAAAUAAAAAUACAUUUAGCAACUUGUUUCACAUUUGGAAUGCCUACAAAUGGUUGUUUUCUGAAGCGUGAACAUAAUGACGGGACACGCAUAUUAUCAGGGGCAGGUUGGAAAAUGAAAGCACUUGCUUGGCUCCGCAGCUCAUCUGGCUGUUCUCUAAUUAAACGAAACUUUUUUUGAUGAGCCCCCAACUUCUACUUCACCUAGGUAAGCUGCCAACGCCGCUCCGCCUUGCUUCCCGUGCUCUCAGAGCUGAUUUGGAUGACUGCCACCGAUUCCCUGCAUGUCAACACAGCAUCAGGUGCAUUUCGACUCAUUCCGUGCCCAUUUCAAAUUUCCAUCCUCGGUACUGCGGGCUGCUGAAGGGCGACGGCUGGCCAAACAUCUCCACUUUGCCAGAGUGCCGGCACAAGCCGCAGAUGCACACGGGAACACGGGGUCCCUUCACCCUGCUGGCACGAGCCCCGGCCUGGCCAUCUGGUGCUUCAAGAACGGGUGCCAGUCACCCAUCACGCCUGCCCUCCUAUCUUCCUGAAAGACACGGCCCUCCGACGCGAAGGUCCUUCCACCGGCUUCACAGCUCCUCACCGCCUCUCUGCCAACGUACUUAUCUCCCACCGGGGACACUGCCCACAAAACAGCAGAGUGCCAGCGUGUUAGAGUUGUUCAGAAUCAGCUCGCGUGUGCAAAGUGGAGCCCCGCGCGGAGCUGGGAUGUCCUGAAUAAGUGAACUCGGCUUGCCAUUUUGGCUGCUCCAGAAAAAGAAGAAUGUCUGUUGAAUGCACAAUCACUCGCCGCUUUGUCUUGUCCAUUCACGCCAUGCUUGAAGAGGCGUAAAUGUAUCGCCGGGGAAGACAGGCUUGUGUCAACACUCGCAUCAAUCCAUCCCCUGUCACUCAAAGAUGCCAUGAAAGAAACCACAACUGGGAACGGAGGACGGAGACAUUGAUUUGACUGAUGAAAUUCCCCUCGACAUUAGCACGUUCGACGAAGCCCGUCGAUAUAGCAGAAGUCCUUUCUUCUAUCAGACAAGUUGUCCUUAAAAGUGAUGUCACACGAGUACCCUCUACUCAAUGCCGAUACAAAACUGAACAAAAUAUCAGAUUUAUUUCCCUAUCGGGUUUCCUACAUUUAGCCUACCUUUGUCUUCGAGUGGGUGUGCGUUACACUCUUGUGUGUUUUCAAGUCGCAGGUUGAUCAGAAAGCUGAUGUGCAGUUGUUCUUGACUGCAUUAACUCACCUUGCACAGACAAUUAUCUCAUGAUUUCUGAUGAGUCGGUCCCGUGCUUCAAAAUGUUAAAGCAUGUUUUGCAACCCACUGAUGGUCUUAUCUGGAAAUUCCUAACUACUUCCAUUUGCUCCGCAGUCACGCACGGUUAUAUCUAAAACUUGUGAAGAUGGCGUAAGCCAGACCGUCGACUCGACGCCAGCCGGAUUUUCUCGCUAUUUGAUCCGUUUUAGAUUUGUGUUCUUAAUGUAAGCUUCGCACCUGGACCAAAUUCCAGAAAACUGUUUGCACGUGUGAUGGAUCUUUGACUUUAACACACAUUCUUCUUCAGCAGACUUUGUUAACGGCACUUAUUAGCCUUGCCAUCUUCCUCCUCCUCCAACAGCAUCUAAGUAGCUCUUCAAAGAUAGCGUGCGCCCCCCAUUGUAUUCCAGCAAACAAACGCCACUACAUUGCCCUUUAGACCUUUUAAAGAUGAACGGAGGCGAAAGUCGCCAGGAGAAUAUAACACGGGGAUGCAUUUGUUGUGUUUGAUAUCAUCGACAUGGAGAGGACAAUCGAGGCGCAGAGGGACGUCUCAAUGGGAGAGUUCACGACAAAUGUUUUUAGCACAAAUACGCCACUUUGUUCCCUUUGCUGGGAUCUCUCGAUGUGAAGAGAGCAAGUGAUUGCGGUGCUAGAGUUUGGGAGAAUGUUUGCGUCACCAAGUGGAGUAAUCACCACUUUAACGAUGUAAAGGUGCCGUUCAACGUUUGAUGGCUUUCAGCUAAGAAGUGACGCCGUUUGCUGACGUUUCAUCGUUUAAGUUGGUUUAAGCCAGUUACUGCUUUCUGGUACCAGGAAAUGACAGUUUCCAAUCAUGGCUAUGAAGCACCGAGGCAACUUCACUCUGUGGCGAGAAAGUACGAGUUUUCUUUGGUUGGUCUUUGGAGUUGAUUUAUUACAUACUAAACGAAACUUUUGUUAGCUGAGGAUAUUACAUUUGCGACACAGUGAAGAGUGUGUCGCAUCUCGUGAAAUGCGAUUUCUAUGUUUUGUUGUGUGAACCUAAACUUUUGACCAGUAUUAUAUUUGCCUCGCUGCAUUUGUGUUUGAAAAUGUGCCACCUACAGGGAACUGCACACCUAAUUUACAAGGGAAGCUUGGUGAUGAAGUGUUGCCCUCCCAGGUGAGAGUCUUCAGAAUCAGUCAGCAGAAGGACAGCUCGGCCCUUUGAGAAAGACGCAUUCAGAAUGAACACUUUGGAAUGCUGAAACACUACCGCUGCUCCAUUUCAAACUGGCUUCAUCAAACAUUCGAUGAAGGUGGAUUGGCCAGAGGGGGAGCUCGGUUUACCACCUGUUGGGGCAGUUCCUGUUACUUAACAAAGUGCGGAUGACAAUGGGGGUGAUGUGGUGAGUUCAUUGAUUCCAUUGUGAUUCUUUUAUUUUUUUUAUGGAUGACGAAUGGAAAUCUUUGUUGAAGAGCAUUUGCAUGAUGACACGGUCACAUUCCUGAACACAAUUGCAAUUUAAAAAAUACUUUUUUUGUUCUACUGACCUUCUUUGUGCGGUUCUCCACCUCCCCAAAAAUCAUUUGUCUCAUGUCAAAGUUAAACUCCUUUUGACCUAGUUAUUGGGCAACCUUUAAAACUAAAAUAUUGGUUUAAGCCACCGAAGCUUGCUAAUGGCAGUGACUUUUAAAAUUUAUAACCUGCAUCAUUGUUACACUUUAACAUCCAAGUAAACAUUUACGGAAUCAAGGUUUGUGCUAAUUUUACUUCUGAAACCUUGAGAGGAGAACCCGUAAGGUUGAACAAAGUCCAUUGGGGGAAACGCCGGUAUUGAUUUUCCAGUUCCAGGGUCAGAUACGCCGUCCCUGUUUUUUUUCCUCUCCGUUGCAAUCAGAUCUUUUGCCGUAGUUGCCAUCAUGCUGAUCUUUGUUUUCCCUUGCAACAGCAACGUAACAGAUUGCAGUCAUAGGGUCUCAACUCGGGGUUUUGGUGCAAUUUUACGGGUGUUUUAGUUUUCUCAAAAUGAUGGUCCGCCCAUAAAUGGCAGAGGUUCCACUGUU
Hippocampus zosterae (dwarf seahorse) is the source of this 4480-nucleotide long non-coding RNA. RefSeq lists it as uncharacterized. The transcript has 6 exons. NCBI's taxonomy places the organism in Eukaryota, Metazoa, Chordata, Actinopteri, Syngnathiformes, Syngnathidae. The record is from RefSeq and is a predicted model, not a curated record.